UACGAAGGGGGCUAGCGUUGUUCGGAAUUACUGGGCGUAAAGGGCGCGUAGGCGGUGCGGCCAGUCAGGCGUGAAAGGCCCGGGCUCAACCUGGGAACGGCGCUUGAUACUGCUGCGCUUGAAGGCGGGAGAGGAUGGCGGAAUUCCCAGUGUAGAGGUGAAAUUCGUAGAUAUUGGGAAGAACACCGGUGGCGAAGGCGGCCAUCUGGCCCGCGAUUGACGCUGAGGCGCGAAAGCGUGGGGAGCAAACAGG
Molecule: ribosomal RNA, 253 nt
Filed under: uncultured bacterium
Lineage: Bacteria
Description: partial 16S ribosomal RNA
Rfam family: Bacterial small subunit ribosomal RNA
Source: RNAcentral